Molecule: ribosomal RNA, 491 nt
Filed under: uncultured bacterium
Lineage: Bacteria
Description: SSU rRNA
Rfam family: Bacterial small subunit ribosomal RNA
Source: RNAcentral
AGGAUUAACGCUGGCGGCGUGCAUGAAACAUGCAAGUCGAGCGCGGUGUGAUGCGGGGUAACCCAAUUCACAUCUAGCGGCGAACGGGUGAGUAACACGUGAGCAACCUACCUUUGAGUUGGGGAUAGCCCUGGGAAACCAGGAUUAAUACCCGAUGUGGUCACAACAGGACAUCCUGAUGUGAGUAAAGGCGCAAGCCGCUCAAUGACGGGCUCGCGGCCUAUUAGCUUGUUGGUGGGGUAACGGCCUACCAAGGCGAUGAUGGGUAGCUGGUCUGAGAGGACGAUCAGCCACACUGGGACUGAGACACGGCCCAGACUCCUACGGGAGGCAGCAGUUAGGAAUUUUCCGCAAUGGGCGAAAGCCUGACGGAGCAACGCCGCGUGAGUGAUGAAGACCUUAGGGUUGUAAAGCUCUGUCGGAGGGGAAGAACACAAUGACGGUACCCUCCAAGAAACGCCCGGCUAACUACGUGCCAGCAGCCGCGGUAA